GCACCCGUAGCUCAAUUUUGGAUAGAGCAACGCACUCCUAACGCGUAGGUUGCUGGUUCGACUCCGGUCGGGUGCA
This 76-nucleotide transfer RNA is filed under the name Candidatus Dojkabacteria bacterium. RNAcentral describes it as "tRNA-Arg". It matches the Rfam family "tRNA". Rfam says of the family: Transfer RNA (tRNA) molecules are approximately 80 nucleotides in length. The record is from RNAcentral.